Molecule: unclassified non-coding RNA, 701 nt
Filed under: Hevea brasiliensis (rubber tree)
Lineage: Eukaryota; Viridiplantae; Streptophyta; Magnoliopsida; Malpighiales; Euphorbiaceae
Source: RNAcentral
AGAUCUCAGGCUACAUUAAUUUAGAAUGUUCCCCUUUUUUCUCCAGCUUCUUGUAUGCUUGGAUGGUUUUGAAGGCAAAGGUGAAGUCAUCACUAUUGCUUCUACAAAUAGACCAGACAUAUUGGACCCAGCACUUGUUCGACCAGGGCGGUUUGAUCGGAAGAUAUACAUCCCAAAACCUGGUCUAAUUGGACGAAUUGAAAUUCUUAAGGUGCACGCUCGUAAGAAGCCUAUGGCUCCUGAUGUGGACUAUAUGGCUGUUGCCAGUAUGACUGAUGGAAUGGUUGGUGCAGAGUUGGCCAACAUUGUUGAGGUCGCUGCUAUUAAUAUGAUGCGUGAUGCAAGAACUGAGAUUACAACCGAUGACUUGAUACAAGCUGCACAAAUUGAAGAACGAGGAAUGCUUGACCGGAAGGAGAGAAGCCCUGAGAUGUGGAAGCAAGUGGCUAUUAAUGAAGCAGCAAUGGCUGUGGUGGCAGUGAACUUCCCAGAUCUUAGAAAUAUUGAGUUUCUCACUGUUGCUCCAAGGGCUGGAAGAGAUCUGGGUUAUGUGCGGAUGAAAAUGGAUCACGUCAAAUUUAAGGAAGGAAUGUUGAGCCGGCAGUCGCUGUUGGAUCAUAUCACUGUUCAGAUAGCACCACGUGCUGCUGAUGAGCUCUGGUAUGGAGAGCACCAGUUCAGUACAAUAUGGGCUGAGACUG